AGGCAGAGAUGUAGCCAAAGAUGACUUGCCAGUCGAAAUCGUUAAUCUCCGCUCUUAAAUUGUAAACUACAAAAAGUAGUCAUCAAGAAGCAGAAUUGGUCGAGCUUGCCGGCAAGUCAUCCUUGGCUGCAAUUCAAUAACCUCA
Capsicum annuum is the source of this 145-nucleotide non-coding RNA. The record is from Rfam. Lineage: Eukaryota; Viridiplantae; Streptophyta; Magnoliopsida; Solanales; Solanaceae.